Centruroides sculpturatus (bark scorpion) is the source of this 559-nucleotide long non-coding RNA. RefSeq lists it as uncharacterized. The record is from RefSeq and is a predicted model, not a curated record. Lineage: Eukaryota; Metazoa; Arthropoda; Arachnida; Scorpiones; Buthidae. The transcript is spliced from 3 exons.
UACAGGAUCUUAUGUGAGGAAAUCGGACAUUUGAUUGGAGAGUCACCUAUUAAGGAAAGAUUUUGAAAUUUUGUGUAUUGUUAAUAUUAAUUGUAUAAAUGCAACAUACAAGUAUUAGUUUCAUUUAGAUAUUUAUUAUUGAAAUACAUAGUUGCUUUCUCACGAGUAUCCAUCAUCAAAAUUACAUUCGUCCUUAAUUUAGAAAUUUUUAACAUAAGAGGUACAUUCCCAAUUGAUACUACCAAAACAAGAUUACAAGUACAAGGGCAAAGAAGUGAUGCUCGUUAUGCAGAACUUAAGUAUAGAGGCAUGUUUCAUGCUUUAAUACGUAUUACUAAAGAAGAAGGUUUACAAGCUCUAUAUUCAGGAUGACUACAAAUGUCACUUCAACUGGAAUUCAGAAUUCUUCCUUGUUAAUAUGCUUGUUAUAUUUAAGCAUCAUUCAUUGGCAGAAGUUGGAAGCUACAAUAUCGUUGGUAAAUUAAAUAAAAGCAAAAUUAUUCACUCAUACAGAUUUAUCACUAAUAUAUCAAAAUUUUAAUAAACAUAUUUAGUAUAA